UUGAAAGGGAAACGAUUGAAGUCAGUCGUGCUGGCGCGAAAUCAACCUUCUCGUCUUGAGAUCACAUGGCGUGGCGAGCCUCAAAACCGUCACGAAGCGUGAACUCUUGGUGAAAUGGAGCACUUUCGUGUCCGCUGGUUAACAUCAAUUUCGAACGUCAUAAAAAGGCUGGAGGGAUGUGGCUCCUUCGGGAGUGUUAUAACCUUUAGCGGAAUGUGGUGUUCGGGAUUGAGGAUUGCAACGAAUACCUUUAAGGCUGUUCCACCUGGCUUCUCUUUGGUAUCCUGGUGACGACAGCUUGCUGACGUCGUUAGGAUUCGCCUUUGAACAGGCUAGAGUGUGAGCAAAUUCGUUAAGGAUGUUGACGUA
This 369-nucleotide ribosomal RNA is filed under the name uncultured Glomeromycotina. RNAcentral's name for it is "LSU rRNA". Lineage: Eukaryota; Fungi; Glomeromycota. The record is from RNAcentral.